AGUCGAACGAAGUCUUCGGACUUAGUGGCGCACGGGUGCGUAACGCGUGGGAAUCUGCCCUUGGGUACGGAAUAACUCAGAGAAAUUUGUGCUAAUACCGUAUAAUGUCUUCGGACCAAAGAUUUAUCGCCCAAGGAUGAGCCCGCGUAAGAUUAGCUAGUUGGUGAGGUAAGAGCUCACCAAGGCGACGAUCUUUAGCUGGUCUGAGAGGAUGAUCAGCCACACUGGGACUGAGACACGGCCCAGACUCCUACGGGAGGCAGCAGUGGGGAAUAUUGGACAAUGGGCGAAAGCCUGAUCCAGCAAUGCCGCGUGAGUGAUGAAGGCCUUAGGGUUGUAAAGCUCUUUUACCCGGGAUGAUAAUGACAGUACCGGGAGAAUAAG
This 384-nucleotide ribosomal RNA is filed under the name Sphingomonadaceae bacterium MS41c. RNAcentral's name for it is "bacterial SSU rRNA". It matches the Rfam family "Bacterial small subunit ribosomal RNA", at positions 60 to 490 of the family's 1533-position model. The record is from RNAcentral. Lineage: Bacteria; Pseudomonadati; Pseudomonadota; Alphaproteobacteria; Sphingomonadales; Sphingomonadaceae.